RNAcentral lists this long non-coding RNA (646 nucleotides) under Mytilus galloprovincialis (Mediterranean mussel). The record is from RNAcentral. Lineage: Eukaryota; Metazoa; Mollusca; Bivalvia; Mytilida; Mytilidae.
GGGCGGAUGCAGGAAUUUUCGAAAGGGGGGGUGCUAACCCAGGGCAAAGGGGGGGUGCAAAACAUAUGUCCCGAUACAAAUGCAUUGAUCGGCAAAAAUAAAGGGGGGGGUGGGCACCCCCGGAACCCCCCCUCUGGAUCCGCCACUGCAAUUGAACCAGCUUUUGGUAAAUGGAAGUACUCUCAGAUCUUUACUUACUGUCUUUUUGUUGUUGGAUGUACAAUUACAAAUCCAUGUCCACUUUGUGUUUUUGUUAUAUUUGUAUUUCUAUUUGUAUCCAUCUAAUAUUCUGUAUGUAUGUGCCUGUCCCAAGUAAGGAGCCUGUAGUUCAGUGAUUGCUGUUUGUUGCUGUGUUACAUAAUAUUUUUUUUUUAUUGUUUGGUACAUAAAUACGGCUGUCAGUUUUCUCAAUUGAAUUCUUUAAAGUUUGUGAUUUAUCAUGUAGCUGACUGUGGUAUGGGCUUUGCUCAUUUUUGAAGGCUAUACAGUGACCUAUAGGUCAUAUUUUCUGUUUUAUUUGGUCUCUUGUGGAGAGUUGCUUUAUCAGCUAACGCUCAGGAUAACAUUUGAAUAUCACAACCAAGGCCAUGUGUAAAUUUCCAAUAAAUAUAUGGCUUCCAUGAAUUAUUUCUUAAAUAAAAAAAUG